AACGAACGCUGGCGGCAUGCCUAACACAUGCAAGUCGAACGAGACCUUCGGGUCUAGUGGCGCACGGGUGCGUAACGCGUGGGAACCUGCCCUUAGGUUCGGAAUAACUCCCCGAAAGGGGUGCUAAUACCGGAUAAUGUCUUCGGACCAAAGAUUUAUCGCCUUUGGAUGGGCCCGCGUUGGAUUAGCUAGUUGGUAGGGUAAAAGCCUACCAAGGCGACGAUCCAUAGCUGGUCUGAGAGGAUGAUCAGCCACACUGGGACUGAGACACGGCCCAGACUCCUACGGGAGGCAGCAGUGGGGAAUAUUGGACAAUGGGCGAAAGCCUGAUCCAGCAAUGCCGCGUGAGUGAUGAAGGCCUUAGGGUUGUGAAGCUCUUUUACCCGGGAUGAUAAUGACAGUACCGGGAGAAUAAGCGCCGGCUAACUCCGUG
RNAcentral lists this ribosomal RNA (433 nucleotides) under uncultured bacterium. Its description in RNAcentral is "partial 16S ribosomal RNA". It matches the Rfam family "Bacterial small subunit ribosomal RNA", at positions 29 to 507 of the family's 1533-position model. The record is from RNAcentral.